UAGGCAUGCACAUCUCAGCCAUUGGAAGAGGAUGAAGAGGAGAUCAGGGCACCAUCUCCCUCUCAGGACUUCAUGCAUGAGAUUGCCACUUCACAGAGAAUUUAUCAAACAUGGACAAACUUAUUUUUAAUCAUCAUGUUGAAAGGAAUUAUUUCAUUACAAAGAACAGAAAACUACAUAUGUGAUAUCAAGAAAAAAAUAAAGCUGCAAGACCCUCUUCUCUUCGGCUUCUCACUGACCUAG
Molecule: long non-coding RNA, 243 nt
Filed under: Callithrix jacchus (white-tufted-ear marmoset)
Lineage: Eukaryota; Metazoa; Chordata; Mammalia; Primates; Cebidae
Description: lncRNA (ENSCJAG00000082334.1)
Source: RNAcentral